GCGUGGGACACGCCUCCCCAACGAGGCGCGACUAUCUGAGAGGGUAGCCUUC
This is a regulatory RNA element of Lutibaculum baratangense AMV1, 52 nucleotides long. It matches the Rfam family "serC leader". Rfam says of the family: This family is a putative regulatory RNA structure that is found upstream of the serC-serA operon in some alpha-proteobacteria. The final stem of the structure overlaps the ribosome binding site of the serC reading frame. The record is from Rfam. NCBI's taxonomy places the organism in Bacteria, Pseudomonadati, Pseudomonadota, Alphaproteobacteria, Hyphomicrobiales, Tepidamorphaceae.